RNAcentral lists this transfer RNA (63 nucleotides) under Crepidodera sp. BMNH 846613. Its description in RNAcentral is "tRNA-Val". Lineage: Eukaryota; Metazoa; Arthropoda; Insecta; Coleoptera; Chrysomelidae. The record is from RNAcentral.
AUAGUUUAAUAAAAAAAUAUUUUAUUUACAUUAAAAAGUUAAUUAGAAUUUUAUUUAAUUUGA